RNAcentral lists this ribosomal RNA (521 nucleotides) under uncultured bacterium. Its description in RNAcentral is "bacterial SSU rRNA". It matches the Rfam family "Bacterial small subunit ribosomal RNA", at positions 791 to 1311 of the family's 1533-position model. The record is from RNAcentral.
UAGUCCACGCCGUAAACGAUGAGUGCUAGUUGUCGGGUUUUUAACUCGGUGACGUAGCUAACGCGUUAAGCACUCCGCCUGGGGAUUACGGUCGCAAGAUUAAAACUCAAAGGAAUUGACGGGGACCCGCACAAGCGGUGGAGCAUGUGGUUUAAUUCGAGGCAACGCGAAGAACCUUACCAGUCCUCGACAUCCUAAUCGCGGGUUACAGAGAUGUAACCCUUCAGUUCGGCUGGAUUAGUGACAGGUGCUGCAUGGUUGUCGUCAGCUCGUGUCGUGAGAUGUUGGGUUAAGUCCCGCAACGAGCGCAACCCUCAUCCUAUUUUGCCAGCACGUAAUGGUGGGAACUAUUAGGAAACUGCCCGUGACAAGCGGGAGGAAGGCGGGGAUGACGUCAAAUCAGCACGGCCCUUAUGGACUGGGCUACACACGUGCUACAAUGGGCGGUACAGAGGGUCGCAAAGCCGCGAGGUGGAGCUAAUCUCAUAAAACUGUUCGUAGUCCGGAUCGCAGUCUGCAAC